Phacochoerus africanus (Common warthog) is the source of this 361-nucleotide long non-coding RNA. RefSeq lists it as uncharacterized. The record is from RefSeq and is a predicted model, not a curated record. NCBI's taxonomy places the organism in Eukaryota, Metazoa, Chordata, Mammalia, Artiodactyla, Suidae. The transcript has 3 exons.
AAAGGAGAAUCUGGUAGGUCACCAGCGAAGAGGAUGAAGCUAAGAAAGGAAGGUGGGUCAAGGGAGCCUCUACACUGAGGCAACUGACCCGGCUCAUCCUUCUCACUGGUUCUGCCCACCAGCUGACAUGCUACUUCUCCUGGCACCAGCCAGGCCCGGGGCACUUCAAGCCUGGCAUGACCCCUUCCUCUGUACUCACCCAACUUAUGCCAUUGCUGAGAGAUGUGGGAAAUGAGAUGGCACCAUUAAAUGAAAGGAUGUAACUCUCUGCCAAACUCUGCUUGAACUGAAAAACAAGAGUCAUGUGAAAACUCUUCCGGCUGUUGGCAGCUGGGAUUUCGGAGCCGCUCCAGGAACUUUU